RNAcentral lists this ribosomal RNA (460 nucleotides) under uncultured bacterium. Its description in RNAcentral is "partial 16S ribosomal RNA". It matches the Rfam family "Bacterial small subunit ribosomal RNA", at positions 338 to 795 of the family's 1533-position model. The record is from RNAcentral.
CCUACGGGGCGCAGCAGUGAGGAAUAUUGGUCAAUGGACGAGAGUCUGAACCAGCCAAGUAGCGUGAAGGAUGACUGCCCUAUGGGUUGUAAACUUCUUUUAUAAAGGAAUAAAACGAGGCACGUGUGCCUUUUUGCAUGUACUUUAUGAAUAAGGAUCGGCUAACUCCGUGCCAGCAGCCGCGGUAAUACGGAGGAUCCGAGCGUUAUCCGGAUUUAUUGGGUUUAAAGGGAGCGUAGAUGGGUUGUUAAGUCAGUUGUGAAAGUUUGCGGCUCAACCGUAAAAUUGCAAUUGAUACUGGCAGUCGUGAGUACAGUUGAGGUAGGCGGAAUUCGUGGUGUAGCGGUGAAAUGCUUAGAUAUCACGAAGAACCCCGAUUGCGAAGGCAGCUUACUAAACUGUGACUGACAUUGAUGCUCGAAAGUGUGGGUAUCAAACAGGAUUAGAUACCCCGGUAGUC